RNAcentral lists this ribosomal RNA (469 nucleotides) under uncultured bacterium. RNAcentral describes it as "partial 16S ribosomal RNA". It matches the Rfam family "Bacterial small subunit ribosomal RNA", at positions 27 to 507 of the family's 1533-position model. The record is from RNAcentral.
GGACGAACGCUGGCGGCGUGCUUAACACAUGCAAGUCGAACGGAAAGGCCCUGCUUUUGUGGGGUGCUCGAGUGGCGAACGGGUGAGUAACACGUGAGUAACCUGCCCUUGACUUUGGGAUAACUUCAGGAAACUGGGGCUAAUACCGGGUAGGAGCUCCUGCUGCAUGGUGGGGGUUGGAAAGUUUCGGCGGUUGGGGAUGGACUCGCGGCUUAUCAGCUUGUUGGUGGGGUAGUGGCUUACCAAGGCUUUGACGGGUAGCCGGCCUGAGAGGGUGACCGGCCACAUUGGGACUGAGAUACGGCCCAGACUCCUACGGGAGGCAGCAGUGGGGAAUAUUGCACAAUGGGCGGAAGCCUGAUGCAGCAACGCCGCGUGCGGGAUGACGGCCUUCGGGUUGUAAACCGCUUUCGCCUGUGACGAAGCGUGAGUGACGGUAAUGGGUAAAGAAGCACCGGCUAACUACGUG